CUCCCCUCUGCCUCGUUGUGGUGGCCCCGGGAGCGGAGGAAGUGAGGAAUAAAUCCAGACUCUCAGCAACGUGGGCAGUAGGAAGGAUCCUUAAGAAUUCCGAGGAGACCAGAUAACUGUGCACAGAUCAAGUCUCUUCAGGAUCUCUUUAGAAGUAGCAAUCAGGCAUGACCUCCUAACGGGUGUUCACGGAAAUGGUGCCAUGCAUGCGCCAAACUUCAGCUUGCAUCCACCACAUCAGACCCACUGAGUGAGCUCCUGCGUUAUUGCAUGGGAUGGCAAUGUUGACAUAGCGCAGAGGAGAAUCUGUGUGACACAGAGCAAUGGUAGCUAGGUUAACAUAAGACUCCUCCGUGAGAGGCUGGUGGUCAGCCCUGGGGUCAGUGACCACAAGCAGCCGUGGCUCCCGGAAGGCUGCCUGGAUCUGGUUGGUGAAGGUUCCAGGAGUAAAGCGGCAGCAAUUGGAGUGGCUCCAGUGGCAGCAGCAAACCAGCACAGCCGUUUGGCCAUUCCUGGAUGAUAUGACACUGACAUCAGCAGGGUUUUCAAUGGCAACAAUGGCAUGAGCUGCCUGGAGAAGCUUCUCCCAGGUCCUCUUCAGAUUUGUGAUGUAGAUGCCAUCACUUUUCCUUUUAUAGAUAUACUGCUCCAUCUGGAAGUCAAGGUUGGUGCCACCUAAAUGAGUUCCUGCUGCCAGGAACUCAAGGGCAUCAAGGGCUCCGGACAUUGUGAAAGUUUCCCUUUAAGUUACGACGGGAACCCAGAACAACGCUGUACAGAGCCCUCAGCAGGUAGUGCUGAAAGGAGUAUUGCUGUUUUAUUUGGACUAAGGAACCCAUCCUCAGACCUUUGGUCUUUUGGCCAAAGUGGGGUCCGACGAGGACAGAAUAUGCCAACUCCUGACCCAGUAUGUCAGUGAUAAAAGUCCAGUUUCUCAAGAGGAGAUAGAUUAUGCUCUGUGUUGGAGACAAGGGCCUGUCCUUCUCUAUCCCCUAAAGGAAUUCAGGGGAUAAAAGCAAAGCCAAACACAAAACCCCCACAGACCACCUUCCCCCACCAACCCCUCCACCCCAAACUGAAGUCAGCCCUUCCCCCACCUACCCCUCCACCCCAAGCUGAACAGUCAGCCCUUCCCCCACCUACCCCUCCGCCCCAAGCUGAACAGUCAGCCCUUCCCCCACCUACCCCUCCGCCCCAAGCUGAACAGUUAGCCCUUCCCCCACCUACCCCUCCACCCCAAGCUGAACAGCCCUUCCCCCACCUACCUCUCCACCCCAAACUGAACAGUCAGCCCUUCCCCCACCUACCCCUCCACCCCAAACUGAACAGUCAGCCCUUCCCCCACCUCCUCCUCUGCCCAAGCUGAAAACUCAGUCCCACCCCCAUAUAACUGUUGUAUCUGACCAAGCAUAGAAAGUCAACACCAAGACAAAAGUAUGCCAAAUUGCAGGGUUUAUUGCUGGCGACCACAGAGGACUCACCUCUCUCCAACCUGUGGCAGAGAAAGAAGGGUGACAAGACCUUUUUAUACCCACAAAACCACCUUGGGAGUGGGGGUGAGGAGCGGAGAUGGGAUGAAAGACUAAAUCAUCUCCUAGGCUGAGACGAGGGUGAGGGGGGGCUCCAGACAUUCCAAGGGCUAGGGGAUUACUUGACAUUUAAGAGAUUUACAGAAAUUAAGAUAACCAUUUGCUUACACAUCGUCUGGGUAGGGGUUACUUGGCCCUAGAAUGGAAUUAUCGGCAGGGGGGGGUGCUUACUCUGGCCAUUACCAGUAAACAGAGGCCAGCAAUUCUGGCAGUUACAGAUAAGAGAAAGUAAGCAGCUUUACCUCUCUUUGCAUUUUGCAAGGUAAAUUAGCAGUUUACAGAAGCCAAGGUUAGCAGUCAUUGUGAGGAGAAUGGAAACGGUCUUGUCUCUUUAUAAAAUGGCAUUGUACAGGUUCUAACUCUAGGCUAGCUAUAUCACAUAACCCUGCCCCAUGGGCCUUAACGUCCCACUGGACAGCCCCGGACACACCCCUCCUCAGGAAAGCACCAGGGGGAGAUAGAACAAUGCUAAAGGGACAUUCAAAACCCUCCUUUCCCCUCUUCCUCAAGAAGUCUCCCCCAACCCUUUUUCCCUUCAGGGAAGUACCCCUAGGAGGAGGGGGUAUUGGUUUUGUAAAUGUCCCCUUAACAAGUUCACAGGUUAGAAAUCUGAAAAGGGAACUGAAGCCACUGUUAGGUGACCCUUGUGGACCUGUAGAUCAAAUUGACCAAUUUCUGGGGCUACAACUGUACACUUGGGCUGAACUGAUGUCUUCUAGGUAUUCUCAGGAGAGGAAAGAACCGUGGCUCAGGCUGGUCCAAAAGCAGUGAGUUAUCUCAACUGAUCGUUUACGGUCAGUUACAGAUCGAACUCCUUGUUCUACUCUUUCCCCCCUUGUCACUACUACACUUGACUAGUCUUUAAAAAAAAAAAAAAAAAGACCCAUGACCCACAGGGCCAUUAUGGUAGUCUGGGAGUGGGAGCACCCCCUGCUCAGAAUGUCCUUGCAGUGGAGCAUAAAUGCCCAGCCCAGGACCCUCAAUGGGAUAACAACACUGUGGUCCACCUAGAAAACACAAGACCACAGGGACAUGGUAAUGAAAGGGGUUCCAGAGUCAGUUCCUCGAACCCCAGAUAUUUCCUGAGCAUUUAAUGUACAACUAGGGAAAGGUGAAGGGCCUGUGGAAUUCUUAGACUGAAGGAACAGAUAAGAAAAUAGGCAGGUUUGGACAUAGAGGACCCACUAGGACCAGGGCUGUUGAGGCUCCACUUGGUCACCAGUAGUUGGCCAGACAUUGCAAAGAAAUUACAAGAGCUAGAAAACUGGAAGGAUAGUUCCUCUUUUACAAGAGGCCCAGAAGGUAGAUGUAGGGAGGGACUGAGGAAAAGCAGAAGCAAAAGGCAAAAAUUAUGCUGCCCACCCUACAGCAGAGAACUCUUCAACAGGGAUCCCAUGGAAGUAGAACUCGUAAACCUCCUAACUGCCGGGCUGCCAGACCCUGCACGGGAAAUGAAGUGAUGAAACCCAAGUCAGGGAGCAGGGAAAGCAGGUGUUUCAGGGGUGGAAAGCCAGGACGUGCUAAGAAGGCAUCUCAAGUGGGAGAGGGAAAAGAAAGUCCUUGCACUCAUGACACGAGGAAGAAUGGGGGUCAUGGGCUCUUUGUCUCCCAUCUCGAUUCCCACCCAGAGUCCUUGAAACACUUAAAGGCGGGACCCAAAUCAGAGACAGUUGCUUUCCCAGUCGAUUCAGGAGCAGCUCCCUCCUCUCCGUUUGGGCGCCACGUCUGCCAGGAACUCUUGACCAGCAAGAGGGUUCCAACCUGAAUGGGGAGUACGCUGGAAGUAAUAAAGGAGACAGAAAGCGGGGUCAGGAGGAAUGAAGAGACAUUGCUCUCUCAUCAAGUUUAUUAUCUGAGGGCUAAAAAUAUAUACUUUUCAGGGUCUGAUUGACGUCAUGGUAAGGAGAAAAAUAAGUAGCUAAAUCAUCGAUUCUAUACAAUAAAUUGACAGCUAAGUGAAAGGUGGCUAUGGAAGAUAAUAUCUUUGGUGCUUAUAAGCAAGUUUCUUGUAGCAAAAAAGUUUGUUCCUCAUGAAUGCAGGGGGCCAUCUGGUUUCACCCAUCUGGUUAUCUUUUAGCUAGAUUCUCCUUUUUUCCUGUCCUCGACUUCCCUAUCUCUACUUCUCUCUGCUUCUGGGGUCAACCUCCCAUAAGGUAAACACCUUCUUUGCAGUCUCACAUGGGAGGAUCCCCAACACUCCCUGUUUUCUUCAUCAGGUUUAGCCCAUUCAGCAGAAGACCUUGUUGUCUCAGGAGUUAAGAGGGAAGGAUUCAGGGAGAAAUUCUAGAGGAAAAAGAAGUCAAAUGUAAGAAUAAGUGGAUCACUAUUAAGUUCUUGUUAAUUCCCGAAGCAGGAACCAAUUUAUUAGGAAGGCACUGAAUGUUAAGGUUAGACUUAGGCCUGUGUGUUAAUUAGUCAGGGAAAGUUCCUUCCUUCCUUAAGCCUGGUGAGCAGGCCUAGGUCUGUGUGUUAAUCAGGGAAAACUCCUUACUUCCUUAAAGGAGUAAGAAGUUUUAUAUACACAUCCAUCCUGACCUAUGGUCAAAGGAAGGAACUUGAGGAAAACUACGGGUUCCUCCAAUCCAUGUCAGAUUAAAAACUCCCAGGGAAGUAGUGAAAAGGAAACAGUACCCUAGUCCCUAGGAAGCCAGGAUAGGGCUGAAACCUAUCAUUGAAAGCCUUGUCCACGACAGACUCCUUGAAUCCUGUAUGUCCUUCUGACAGUACAUUGCCUAUAAGGAAGCCAGACGGGUCAUACCGGCUAGUGUAAGACCUCGGGCUAUUAAUCGAAGGUUCCCAGUCCUUACACCAUUGUCAAUAGAAUCCCACACAACCAGCAGGAACUCAGGAGAAUCUUAGGAUUGGUUGGAUAUUGUCAUCUGUGGAUUGACUCUUAGCCUUAAAAAACAAAGCCCCUGUAUCAAAAACUCACUCAACAAGGGCCGUACCGCCUCCUUUGGACCCCAUCUGAGAUCCAACAGGUAAAAGAUCCACCAGGCCAGGUGUGGUGGCUCACGCCUGUAAUCCAAGCACUUUGGAGGCCAAGGCAGGUGGAUCACCUGAGGUCAGGAGUUCAAGACCAGCCUGACCAACAUGGUGAAGCCCUGUCUUUAAAAAAAAAAAAAAAAUUAAAACACCUACUUGUGACUGCCCUGUUUCAGCCUUGCCCUCCUCAGAAGAGCCAUUCCACCAUCUCAUUAACGUAAGCAAAAGGAGUGGUCCUAGGGGUCCUCGCCCAAACACGGGCACCAGCAGUAGCCCAUAGCCUCUCUGUCCAAACUCAUUGACCCAGUAACCUGUGGAUGGCCCGACUGUUUCCAGUCCGUAGCAGCAACUGCCUUGCUAACAGAAGAAAGCAGGAAAAUAAGCUUCUGGGGAAGCCACCUCGCAAGUGCCCCCAUCAAGUUAGAGCCAUUCUGAAUCAGAAGGCAGGGAGAUGGCUCCAUAAUUUUAAAAUAUGAAGCUUUCUUAUUAGAGAGGGACAACUGAAUACUAACACCAAGGAUUCGCUCAACCCUGCGGCUUUCUGAUGGAAAAUGCAAACCAGGAAGAAGCUGAGCAUAAAUGCUUAGAUCUGGUCACCUGUCAAACUAGAGUCAGACUGGGUCUCAGUGAAUCCGUCUUCCAAACAGGGCGCCGCCUCUUUCUAGACGCUUUCUCUCAGGUCACCGAAGAAAAAAGGCACAACGGGUAUUCCACGUGGAUGAGGAAACCCUUACACAGGUAGAGUCAGAAAGACUGCCAAGUGGCUGGUCUGCCCAAACAUGCGAACUCUUUGCGUUAAACCAAGCCUUAAAGUCCCUGUAGAAUCAGGAAGGAACUGUUUACAUUGACUCCAAGUGUGCCUUCAGAGUAGUCCAUACCUUUGGGAAGAUCUGGACAGAAUGAGGCCUCAUGAUAGUAAGGGCCAACAUGUGGUCCACAAGGACUUAAUUCUGCAAGUACUAGAAAACCUUAAGCUGCCGGAGAGAUGGUGGUUGUCCAUGUCCCAGGACACCAAAAGAACCCACCUUUUGGAAGCUGGGGAAAUUACCUCACAGACCAAGUAACCAGGCAAGCUGCCUCCUCCCAAGAGGCACCCAUUUUCCAUCUAACCUUUUGUCCUCCGCUCCAGCUGCCAUCCUCAUCUUCUCCCACGCAGACCAAGAUAAACUUUUUUUCUCUUUUUUUAAGAGAUGGGGUUUCACCAUAUUGAUCAGGCUGGUCUUGAACUCCUGACCUCGUGAUCUGCCCACCUUGGCGUCCCAAAGUGCUGGGAUUACAGGUAUGAGCCACCUCGCCCGGCCUAGACCAAGAGAAACUAAAGAAAACAGAAGCUAAGGAGCGCCCAAGGGGAAGUGGGUGCUGACAGAUGGAAGGACAUGCUGCCUCAGCCGUACAAGCUCCGUGGAUGCCUGUGGGUGUGUGCUGAUAGAGCCCCUCGCUAGGCAAGUGGCGAUGGUUGCAGAGUGUGAAGAAAAACGAAUAUGCAAACCCUAAAGAGGCAGCCUCCCAGGAGAAUAAACGCAGGGUUGAGGCCGUUCCAAAGCGUCCGAGUUGACUAGACUGAAAGGCCCCCAGUGGGCCCUCCUAAGAUUUACUAGGGAUAGCAGACCAUCUCACCCACUGGAUAGAACCACCCGCUUCCCAAGCAUAACAGCAGGCAUUAGUCAAAGCCGCGUUGGAAUGUGUCAUCCUCAGGUUUGGACUAAUAGCAAACGUUGAUUCCGACAAUGGGGCCCACUUCAGUGCACACAUCAUUAAGGGGCUAACCCAAGCCCUGAGAAGAUGGGAAUAUCACAUUCCCUGGCACCCACCCUUAUCAGGGAGGACAGAAAGAAUAAAUCGAACUCUAAGAAUUCGUCUCACCAAGUUAACCUUGGAAAACCAGUUACCAUGGACAGAAUGCCUUCCCAUUGCCUUACUAAGAAUCUGAAGUGCCUCUGGAAAAGAUCUUGGCCUGUCCCCUUAUGAGAUGCUCUCCCGUCUCCCUUAUCUAAAUUCCACUACUAACCUUCCUACAUUUGAAACAAAAGAUCAGUUUCUCAAAAACUAUGCAUUUGGUCUGUCUUCCACCCUUCCCUCCCUCAGGACUGAAGGCCUCCUAGCGAAAACUCCACCCCUCGAAUUCCCAGUUCACCAGCAUCAGCCCGGAGAUCUCAUCCUUAUCAAAAGUUCGAAAGAGGGAAAGCGCAAACCAACCUAAGGAUGGACCCCACACACACUCGAGUAAAACCAGCCCCACCCCUACAAAGUCAUGGACCAUCACUCCAGCACCAACAGCCUCCAAACUAACAUUCAGAAAGGUUUAAUCUGUCUUUUUCUUCUUCCUUUAGCUCCCUGAGACAUCAUCAAUGUAACCUGAUCACCCUCCCCCACAAACAGUUACAUUCGAUGCCUGUCUUGUCAUGCCCAAUGGGAAUCUCCAAACUCAGAGACAGCUACAGUCUUCAGAGAAGUUCCUCUUCCCCUCUAGGAAAAGCAACACCACCCCUGACUCUUGCAGCGAAGGAGUACAAAGAUUCCCGCUUUGAGGACAAGUCCAAAGUUGGGGGUUUUGCUAUACUUGGGGAGAUGUUCUGUGGAUUGCCACCUAUCAGGCUGGACCUCCUGGAAGGAUUGUGCCACCCUAAAACCCUGUCUCUCACUGGCACGGUGGCUCAUGCCUGUCAUCCCAGCGUUUUGGGAGGCUGAGGCAGGCGGAUCACUUGAGGUCAGGAGUUUGAGACCAGCCUGGCUAACAUGGUGAAACUGCACCUCUACUAAAAAUACAAAAAAUUAGCCAGGAGUGGUAGCAGGCGCCUGUAAUCCCAGCUUCUUGGGAGGCUGAAACAGGAGAAUCGCUUGAACCUGGGAGGCGGAGGUUGCAGGGAGCCAAGAUGGCACCACUGCAUUCCAGCCUGGGCAAAAGAGCAAGACUCUGUCUCAAAAAGCAAACAAAAAACCGCUAUCUACACUUUACCAAAGGAACCACCCCUUCUAAUUGCCAGUGUCACCAUUGCAACCUAGUCCUUAUCUCCAUUAAUGUCCCUGCCUCCACCACCCUAACCCUGCCUCAGAGCACUUCUGUGACCUAGUAGGAGCCGGUGUCCCUGAAAAGGUCCCUAUGGGCAUCUUUGAAAUACUCUUCGUUCCUCCCCCUCCAUCUUCCCCCAUUACCCCUUCCCAAACUCACACAAUCAAACGAUUUCUUGCUUCAUCCCCAAUGACAAAACCAAAGUAGCCACAGUAGAAGUCAAGGGCGUGAAGCAAACUAGCCAUGGAAACCAGGUAUCAGGAUGGACAUGCCUGGCUGGAACGGAUUAAGUAUUUCGUUCACACCCUAAAUAAAAGCAGCUGUUACUCUUGUUCAAUGGGCAGGCCAGAAGCCCAGAUUGUUCUAUUCCCACUCAAAUGGGCCAACCAGCCAGGCACGAACUUCAUGGUAGCUCUCCUCCAGCCCCCCACAGCCUGGGGGACAAGUCUCGCCCUCUUACACUACUUUACCCAAAGGCCAGGAGCCCCAUGAGACAGCACCCAGGACCAUUCGACCUCCCGCCCUCAAUGCCGUUUACCUUGUGUCUCUUAUGGCAGGGGUAGAAUUUGACAUUUCUUGGAAACCUCAUGGGAUGUAGUGGGCCUAAACUUUUUCAAGAGCUAACCACUCGAUUGGCCCUCUUCUGUCCCCACAUGGUGAGCGGUGGUAUUCAGUCGGCCGUGGCCCAUCCCCGCGUGGAUGAGCGGUGGUUUUGCUGGGGACCAAUAUGGGGUUCUGUGCCAGCAACAGGAGCAGCACUUGUGCUCUGGCUGGUAGGCCAGCCCUUCCACGUUGGCAUUUCAUCAACCAGACAGGAAGCAGUUGCCAUGAAGGAAAAGAGAAGACCCCCACACUUACAUAGACAGUAACAGGGCACAUAGGGGUGUCAGGAUCCUGUGAGGGGUACCAAAUGAAUUCAAAGCUCAAAACCAAACAGCCACCAGGUUGAGUCUGCCUUGUGGUCUGCUCGAAAUAAAAAUGCUGACUUGUUGGGGAAAUGGCGUUGGAGGGAGCGCUCACAGAGUGCCACGUGAAACGGUUACAAGUCGUGGGAACAGUAAACUGUGGCAAACUGUGGCAGGUCUCCGGGGAGGCAAACUUCCCUAAGCCUCAUGUUCCUGGUGCAGAGUGACCUUGACUCUGAUACAGAGCAUCACGUGCUCAAGGGCGUCAAACCCCUUUUGUAGCAUCACAAAGCAACCAGACUUGCAGGCUCCUUGUGAGACUCACUCCCUCCAGCUGCGCCUAGAAUACAACCUACACGGCCGACUGAAUAACCACACGUUUCUGCUUUUCAAAGUUUCCCACAAAGCCACUACUGCCGGCAGUGUUUAGAAUGACGGGCCAGCUCCCAUUCACCGAGGAAUGUCCACCGUCACGCCACCCCUCCCCACCAUCACCUCAGCUUCACCCACCAUCUGCUGACUGGUCAGAGUGAUUGUAACCAAUAAAUACUGUGGAGAACCUCA
Molecule: non-coding RNA, 9053 nt
Organism: Callithrix jacchus (white-tufted-ear marmoset)
Lineage: Eukaryota; Metazoa; Chordata; Mammalia; Primates; Cebidae
Source: RefSeq, a predicted model, not a curated record